This 470-nucleotide ribosomal RNA is filed under the name uncultured bacterium. RNAcentral describes it as "bacterial SSU rRNA". It matches the Rfam family "Bacterial small subunit ribosomal RNA", at positions 21 to 486 of the family's 1533-position model. The record is from RNAcentral.
CGCUCAGGACGAACGCUGGCGGCGUGCUUAACACAUGCAAGUCUAUGAGAAUAAGGCAGCAAUAUCUUUAGUAAAGUGGCGCACGGGUGAGUAACACGUAAGUAACCUACCUUUAGAUUUGGAAUAACCCCGAGAAAUCGGGGCUAAUACCGAAUGAUGCAGCGGCACCACAUGGUGAUGUUGUUAAAGUCUAUAUGACGUCUAAAGAUGGGCUUGCGUCUGAUUAGCUAGUUGGUGAGGUAACGGCCCACCAAGGCUACGAUCAGUAGCUGGUCUGAGAGGAUGAUCAGCCACACUGGAACUGAGACACGGUCCAGACUCCUACGGGAGGCAGCAGUGAGGAAUAUUGGGCAAUGCCCGAAAGGGUGACCCAGCAACGCCGCGUGGAGGAUGAAUGUCGUAAGAUUGUAAACUCCUGUUAGAGGGGAAGAAUAAUUCCGAUCGACUCGGAAAUUGACUGACCCUCAGAG